Platichthys flesus (European flounder) is the source of this 308-nucleotide long non-coding RNA. RefSeq lists it as uncharacterized. The transcript has 3 exons. The record is from RefSeq and is a predicted model, not a curated record. NCBI's taxonomy places the organism in Eukaryota, Metazoa, Chordata, Actinopteri, Pleuronectiformes, Pleuronectidae.
CCGAACACUUUGUUUUGCUUGAUGAAGAGCAGGAAGGGCAGCCUGGAGAGAAAGAGAAGCCGGGUUGAGCCCACUACCAUCAUUCACGUACCACGAGGAAGAUGAGGGAGAGAAAUGAUCCUACCAUUAAAGAGACUGUGAAAAGAGCGUUGAGAACAUCACCACUCUACAGGAAGACACAGUCCAGUAAUGGGUGUCAGAAGUUCAGUAGUGAACGACAGAAACAAACAAUCCAAAUUACCUGCAGAACGCCCUUGAUGGACGCUUCAGAUGCAUCGUCAGACUGGCGAGACAGCAAGAUGCCAACU